This 496-nucleotide ribosomal RNA is filed under the name uncultured bacterium. RNAcentral describes it as "partial 16S ribosomal RNA". It matches the Rfam family "Bacterial small subunit ribosomal RNA", at positions 29 to 507 of the family's 1533-position model. The record is from RNAcentral.
AUGCACGCUGGCGGCGUGCCUAAUCCCUGCCAGUCGCGCGAACAGACGAGGAGCUUGCUCCUCUGACGUUAGCGGCGGACGGGUGAGUAACACGUGGAUAACCUACCUAUAAGACUGGGAUAACUUCGGGAAACCGGAGCUAAUACCGGAUAAUAUAUUGAACCGCAUGGUUCAAUAGUGAAAGACGGUUUUGCUGUCACUUAUAGAUGGAUCCGCGCCGCAUUAGCUAGUUGGUAAGGUAACGGCUUACCAAGGCGACGAUGCGUAGCCGACCUGAGAGGGUGAUCGGCCACACUGGAACUGAGACACGGUCCAGACUCCUACGGGAGGCAGCAGUAGGGAAUCUUCCGCAAUGGGCGAAAGCCUGACGGAGCAACGCCGCGUGAGUGAUGAAGGUCUUCGGAUCGUAAAACUCUGUUAUUAGGGAAGAACAAAUGUGUAAGUAACUAUGCACGUCUUGACGGUACCUAAUCAGAAAGCCACGGCUAACUACGUG